Myotis davidii is the source of this 75-nucleotide non-coding RNA. The record is from Rfam. Lineage: Eukaryota; Metazoa; Chordata; Mammalia; Chiroptera; Vespertilionidae.
GGCAGUUCUCAGGUGAUGCACCCCAGAAUUGGGCUCCCUCCUCUCUGGUUCCAGGUGUGUCACCCAAGAACUACA